GUAUAUUUUUAUACCCCACGCAACGAAGUUGCGGAGGGUAUAAUGUUUUUGACCCGUCCGUCCGUCCGUCAGUCCGUCCGUCAGUCCGUCCGUCCGUCCGUCCGUCAGUCCGUCAGUCCUGUUUCUUGUCAUCGCAACUCCUCUCAAACCACACAACAGAAUUUCACGAAACCUUUUCAGAUAAUAAGGACAUACUAUGUAGUUGUGCAUAUCGACGGGAAAUUGCGAUUCAAUUUUUUUUCUAGGAGUUACGCCCCUUUGAACUUAUUUACUUUAAUGUACUACUGCAACAGUUUGUCAUCGCAACUCCUCUCAAACCACACAACAGAAUUUCACGAAACCUUUUCAGAUAAUAAGGACAUACUAUGUAUUGUGCAUAUCGACGGGAAAUUGCGAUUCAAUUUUUUUUCUAGGAGUUACGCCCCUUUGAACUUCUUUACUUUAAUGUACUACUGCAACAGUUUGUCAUCGCAACUCCUCUCAAACCACACAACAGAAUUUCACGAAACCUUUUCAGAUAAUAAGGACAUACUAUGUAGUUGUGCAUAUCGACGGAAAUUGCGAUUCAAUUUUUUUCUAGGAGUUACGCCUCUUUGAACUUAUUUACUUUAAUGUACUACUGCAACAGUUUGUCAUCGCAACUCCUCUCAAACCACACAACAGAAUUUCACGAAACCUUUUCAGAUAAUAAGGACAUACUACGUAGAUGUGCAUAUCAACAGGAAAUUACGAUUCAAUUUUUUUUCUAGGAGUUAUGCCCCUUUGAACUUAUUUGCUUCAAUGUACUUCUGCAACAGUUUGUCAUCUCAACUCCUCUGAAAACACACAACAGAAUUUCAUGAAAUUUUGUAGAUAAUAAGGACA
This 864-nucleotide long non-coding RNA is filed under the name Mytilus galloprovincialis (Mediterranean mussel). The record is from RNAcentral. Lineage: Eukaryota; Metazoa; Mollusca; Bivalvia; Mytilida; Mytilidae.